Mercenaria mercenaria is the source of this 5474-nucleotide long non-coding RNA. RefSeq lists it as uncharacterized. NCBI's taxonomy places the organism in Eukaryota, Metazoa, Mollusca, Bivalvia, Venerida, Veneridae. The record is from RefSeq and is a predicted model, not a curated record. The transcript has 5 exons.
AGAAAAUUCUCAGCUCAAGAUUUUCUCAGAACUGUCUGAGAAUUGUCUCAGCUGAGAAAUUUCUCAAGUUGGCUUUCACUAAACUUUUUCUCAAGUCUUGAGAUUUUUCUUUUUUUAAGACAUAAGCGGCCAAACAUCCAAGGAGCCGCGUGAACUUUCCCACGAACACAUGUGCAUAGUUGGGGGCAGUGGAUUUAUUCAUUUAUUGAGACGAAAUGAAGCGUUGAGAAAUGUUCAUAAACAACAUGUACAGUUUCGGGAUACACCCAAAUUGUAUGUUUGUACACUGUUGUACAAAGGUAUGGCAGUGUAUUUUAAAUAUUAUAAUUAAUCAGCUUCAAACCUGUCACUUUUGAACCAAUCAAACACACAGUCGAGGGUACUACGUCAUAUUGCAUGUGUUUUCUUUACCAAAUAUGGGAUUACGUAAACACAGCCAUAUGUUGUUACACUACGUGUGACAAUUUAUGUUAUCGGGCAUAUAUUUAUUGGAAUCAAGAUAUGCAGACGUCACAGCCUGUGGAUGAAGAUCCUUGCAGCUUAUUAUACAGAGGUCAGGCUUGAGCUAUGUGCUGAUUCAAAAGAUGCUAAUGACAGUGGAUAAUCCAUUCUGAGUUGUUCUGGGACCAUUCACCAACGUUUCAAAACACUGAUGGAACUGAAGGCAGUACAUGUACUGGUGUCUGGCCUGUGAUUUCAAGUAUAGACUAUAAUUGAUGUACCUCCUCCUGAUUUAUCUCCUUGAAUACAAUAUAUCUGCCAUGUGAAAGGAACAAGCUGCAAGAUAUACUGUGGAAGUGGGGGCCUAUGUAAAAAAAACAUUUUAUUUAAAGAAUAUAAGAAAUCUGACACUAAACUACUGAAAAGGUGCACAGGGGAUAUUUUUGUGUGUAUAGACUUUCAUCAAGAUUCUGAGAAAAUUGAUUUAUUAAACAAAAAUAGUCAUAUUGUGUCUUCAAAGCUGAAAAGAUUAAGAUCUUAGGAAAACAUUAGGACUCAAUAAAAGUAAUGGGGUUAUGAAACCGUAGUGUUCAACAUUUAAUUUUUUUUUGUUUUAUUUUCACUACAUUUUGUGACGAGGGUUCCAUCACAAGAUGUUACAUAUUGGUAAGAAUGAGAUGUAGUUUAUGAAAAAAAAGUAUUUUGCUUUAAAUGUGCAGACUUUAAGUUACAUAAAAAAUUAAAGCUGUAACAAUAAAGCUUGAUUAAAAAAAAACAACACACUGUUGAAAACUAGCCAACACGUUGUAAUUGUCACACUUUUUUGGGUGCACAGGGGACACAAUUAGCUAUAUAAUUUAAUACAACUUUAACUCUUAGGCCCUUGCUAAAUUUCUAUAAUGAACUUGUCCGUUUUACAAUUUGGACAGUAUUAUUAAGUGUUAAAAGGGGUGCUAACCAAAAAGAUACUGACUGAAUGGCAAACAGUGCAGAUCAAGAUCAGACUGCACAAAUGUGCAGGCUGAUCAUGAUCUACACUUGUCGCAAAGGUAGGACCAACCAUGUACAGCAUGAUAAGGGUUAAAACUGCUUGAGCCAUUCAGCAGAAAUUGCAAACAUUUGUUGACUACAUUGAUUGGAUAUAUGUAAUUUGCCCCAAAACACUUUAUAAAACUGAACUGAAUUAAAAUAAGGUGAGAGAGAAGAAAAAGCUUAAUUAUUAAAAAAAAAAAAACAAUAUAGCCAAUAGAUAUACUUUGUUGAAGGCAUUAUCUUUGUUUACAUUAAAUUUAAAUGUGGCUGCCACGUUGUUUGUUAGGAACAUAAGACACAUUAAUUUCUUGUUUUUGAACUUUAAUUAUCGCAUUUAUGUGUCAAAGAUUGGCAUGGGCGAAAAUGUUACUGAAAAUAUUAAAUCAGUUUUUAUUGAUUAACUCCUUUUUUGGCUUGUGCAGUAUAAAGUCAUGUGCAUCAUUGAAAGAAUAUGUAAUACUUUUCUAACCAACUGAUAAACAUUCUAGUUUUGGAAAGUUUGUUGCAUAAAGUUAAAGGAGGUUUUUUUCGUAUGAAAUUUACAUGGUGUAGGCCUUUAAGCUGUUUACUUUAAAAACCACCGUGUAUUUUUGAUAAUUUCUUAUGUAAUUAAGUCAUUUCUAAUGUUUUCUCUUUUAAUUGACCCUGAGUGGCAGUUCUUGUUAACUACAAAACCAUCUACUAUUAUUGGUUAACUAAUUAUUGGAAUAGUGAGCAUUUUAACAUUGUUUCAUCACAAUGCACUCCUUUAUUGGAAUAGGGAGGCAAUAGCACAUUUAACUAUUAAACUAAUUAUUAAACUAUGUCAUUUCGACUCAUUUGAAUGCAAACAGCCUUAGACACACCUGAAAAUCAGAUAAAUUUGAAAAUACAUGCAAACUUUUAAAAAUGUUUUUGGAUUUAAGUUAGAACAUUUUCUUAUUUUUAUCUUCAGUUGGUAAUCAAUUCAACUGAUUGUUUCUAUCAACAUCUGUUGUCAGGUGUGUUUCGUCCCAAUUUAAUUUUGUGACCCAUACAGUGUUUCCAGGCCCCGCUUUCACUAACGUUCUCAAAGUGAGAAAAUUCUCAGCUCAAGAUUGUCUCAGAACUGUCUGAGAAUUGUCUCAGCUGAGAAAUUUCUCAAGUUGGCUUUCUCUAAACUUUUUCUCAAGUCUUGAUAUUUUUCUCAGCUGAGCCGUAAUAUUUUAAAACAUAAGCGGCCAAACAUCCAAGGAGCCGCGUGAACUUUCCCACAAACACGAGUGCAUAGUUGGGGGCAGUGGAUUUAUUCAUUUAUUGAGACGAAACGAAGCGUUGAGAAAUGUUCAUAAACAACAUGUACAGUUUCGGGAUAUAUCCAAAUUGUAUGUUUGUACAAAGGUAUGGCAGUGUGUUUUCAAUAUUAUAAUUAAUCAGCUUCAAACCUGUCACUUUUGAAUCAAUCAAACUCACAGUCGAGGGUACUACGUCAUAUUGCAUGUGUUUUCUUUACCAAAUAUGGGAUUAGGUAAACACAGCCAUACGUUGUUACGCUACUGUACGUGUGACAAUUUUAUGUAAACUAGGGCAUAUGUUUAUGGGAAUCAGACAUGCAGCCGUCACAGCCUGCUGAUGAAGAUCCUCAGCUUAUACAAAGGUCAGGCUUGAGCUAUGUGCUGAUUCAAAAGAUGCUAAUGACAGUGGAUAAUCCAUUCUGAGCUGUUCUAGGACCAUUCACCAAGGUUCCAAAACACUGAUGGAUCUGAAGGCAGUACCUGUAUUGGUGUCUGGUCUGUGAUUUCAAGUAUAAUUGAUGUACCUCCUCCUGAUGUAUCUCCUCGAAUACAAUAUAUCUGCCAUGUGAAAGGAACAAGCUUCAAGAUAUACUGUGGAAGUGGGAGCCUAUGUAAAAAACAUUUUAUUUAAAGAAUAUAAAAAAUCUGACACUAAACUACUGAAAAGGUGCACAGGGGACAUUUUUGUGUGUAUAGACUUUCAUCAAGAUUCUGAGAAAGUUGAUUUAUCAAACAGAAAUAGUCAGAUUGUGUCUUCAAAGCUGAAAAGAUUAAGAUCUUAGGAAAACAUUUGGACUCAAGAAAAGUAUUGCGGUUAUGAAACUGUAGUGUUCAACAUUUAAAUUGUUUUUUUUUUUUUUUUUUUCACUACAUUUUGUGAAGAGGGUUCCAUCACAAGAUGCGACAUAUUGCCUGAUAUUGGUAAGAAUGAGAUGUAGUUUAUGAAAAAAAAGUAUUUUGCUUUAAAUGUGCAGACUUUAAGUUACAUAAAAAAUCAAAGCUCUAACAAUAAAGCUUGAUUAAAAAGACACACUGUUGAAAACUAGCCUUCAUGUAAAUGUCACACUUUUUUUGGGUGCACAGGGGACACAAUUAGCUAUAUAAUUUAAUGUAACUUUAACCCUUAGGCCCUUGCUAAAUUUCUAUAAUGAACUUGUACGUUUUACAAUUUGGACAGUAUUAUUAAGUGUUAAAAGGGGUGCUAACCGAAAGAUACUGACUGAAUGGCGAACAAUGCAGAUAAAGAUCAGACUGCACAGAUGUGCAGGCUUAUCAUGAUCUACACUUGUUGCAAAGGUAGGACCAACCAUGAACAGCAUGAUAAGGGUUAAAACUGCUUGAGCCAUUCAGCUGAAAUUGCAAUCAUUUGUUGACUACAUUGAUUGGAUACAUUGUGUAUAUGUAAUUUGCCCCAAAACACUUAAAACUGAACUGAAUUAAAAUAAGGUGAGAGAGAAGAAAAAGCUUAAUUAUUUAAAAAAAAAAACAACUAUAGCCGAUAGAUAUAUAUUGUUGAAGGCAUUAUCUUUGUUUACAUUAAAUUUAAAUGUGGCUGCCACGUUGUUUGUUAGGAACAUGAGACACAUUAAUUUCUUGUUUUCGAAUUUUAAUUAUCGCAUUUAUGUGUCAAAGAUUGGCAUGGGUGAAAAUGUUACUGAAUAUGUUAAAUCAGUUUUUAUUGAUUAACUCCCUUUUUGGCUUGUGCAGUAUAAAGUCAUGUGAAUCACUGAAAGUAUAUGUAGUACUUUUCUAACCAACUGAUAAACAUUCUAUUUUUGGAAAGUUUGCUGCAUAAAGUUAAAGGGUUUUUUUUUGUAUGAAAUUUACAUGGUGUAGGCCUUAAAGCUGUUUACUUUAAAAACCUCCUUGUAUCAUUUCUAAUGUUUUCUCUUUUAAUUGACCCUGAGUGGCAGUUCUUGUUCACUACAAAACCAUCUACUAUUAUUGGUUAACUAAUUAUUGGAAUAGUGAUCAUUUUAACAUUGUUUCAUCACAUUGCACUCCUUUAUGGGAAUAGGUAGGCAAUAGCACAUUUAACUAUUAAACAAGUUGUUAAACUAUGUCAUUUGAAUGAAAACAGCCUUAGACACACCUGAAAAUCAGAUAAAUUUGAAAAUACAUGCAAAUUUUUAAAAAUGUUUUUGGAUUUAAGUUUUAACAUUUUCUUUUUUUAUCUUCAGUUGGUUAUUAAUGCAACUGAUUGUUUUUAUCAACAUCUGUUGUCAGGUGUGUUUCGUCCCGAUUUAAUUUUGUGACCCAUACAGUGUUUCCAGGACUCAUCUGUAAGAGAAACACCAUCAACUUGAGUCAACAGCAUAACUUUUAACAUGUGAACAGAAGUUAAUUAUAAACAUUUUCAUAGGAAGAAUAGUGAACUGGAACAGUAAAUGAAAAUUUAAAAGAAAUGAAAAUGAUAACCUGUACACUUUGGCAUUUCAUAGUUCUUUUUAAAAAAUCAAAUUUAUCUGAGAAGACAAUGACAGUGAAAUAUAAAAUUUUACUUAAAAUUAUUGUUGUAAAUCAUACUGAAAUCUAACAACUUACUGGUAAUAUAAAUUUUAUCAAUAGCAUAGAGUAAAGAUUUUCUGAUAUUUUUGGAAAGAUUUGAAAAACAUUGUACUUUAAAUGUUCAACCAAUAUUUUAGAUCAAAUUAUGAAAUGCCAUAUUUAUUUAUAAAUGAAUAAAACUGUUGUCAACUUAUAAAAAUUUCUGUUAACUUUAAUAAAUUAUUAGAUCUAGAACUUAAA